This 484-nucleotide ribosomal RNA is filed under the name uncultured bacterium. RNAcentral describes it as "partial 16S ribosomal RNA". It matches the Rfam family "Bacterial small subunit ribosomal RNA", at positions 36 to 507 of the family's 1533-position model. The record is from RNAcentral.
CUUUCCCUCUUUCUUCAUGCUUUACACAUGCAAGUCGAACGGCAGCGCGGGCUUCGGCCUGGCGGCGAGUGGCGAACGGGUGAGUAAUACAUCGGAACGUGCCCAGUAGUGGGGGAUAGCUCGGCGAAAGCCGGAUUAAUACCGCAUACGACCUGAGGGUGAAAGCGGGGGAUCUUCGGACCUCGCGCUAUUGGAGCGGCCGAUGGCAGAUUAGCUAGUUGGUGGGGUAAAGGCCUACCAAGGCGACGAUCUGUAGCUGGUCUGAGAGGACGACCAGCCACACUGGGACUGAGACACGGCCCAGACUCCUACGGGAGGCAGCAGUGGGGAAUUUUGGACAAUGGGCGAAAGCCUGAUCCAGCAAUGCCGCGUGUGUGAUGAAGGCCUUCGGGUUGUAAAGCACUUUUGGCGGGAACGAAAAGGACUGUGCCAAUACCACGGUUCGAUGACGGUACCCGCAGAAUAAGCACCGGCUAACUACGUG